RNAcentral lists this ribosomal RNA (460 nucleotides) under uncultured bacterium. RNAcentral's name for it is "partial 16S ribosomal RNA". It matches the Rfam family "Bacterial small subunit ribosomal RNA", at positions 338 to 795 of the family's 1533-position model. The record is from RNAcentral.
CCUACGGGAGGCAGCAGUGAGGCAUAUUGGUCAAUGGGCGCGAGCCUGAACCAGCCAAGUAGCGUGAAGGAUGACUGCCCUACGGGUUGUAAACUUCUUUUAUAAAGGAAUAAAGUGAGGCACGUGUGCCUUUUUGUAUGUACUUUAUGAAUAAGGAUCGGCUACCUCCGUGCCAGCAGCCGCGGUAAGAAGGAGGAUCCGAGCGUUAUCCGGAUUUAUUGGGUUUAAAGGGAGCGUAGAUGGGUUGUUAAGUCAGUUGUGAAAGUUUGCGGCUCAACCGUAAAAUUGCAAUUGAUACUGGCAGCCUUGAGUACAGUUGAGGUAGGCAGAAUUCCUGGUGUAGCGGUGAAAUGCUUAGAUAUCACGAAGAACUCCGAUUGCGAAGGCAGCUUACUAAACUGCCACUGACAUUGAUGCUCGAAAGUGUGGGUAUCAAACAGGAUUAGAUACCCGUGUAGUC